RNAcentral lists this ribosomal RNA (207 nucleotides) under uncultured bacterium. RNAcentral describes it as "partial 16S ribosomal RNA". It matches the Rfam family "Bacterial small subunit ribosomal RNA", at positions 568 to 774 of the family's 1533-position model. The record is from RNAcentral.
CUCGUAGGCGGUUCGUCGCGUCCGGUGUGAAAGUCCAUCGCUUAACGGUGGAUCUGCGCCGGGUACGGGCGGGCUGGAGUGCGGUAGGGGAGACUGGAAUUCCCGGUGUAACGGUGGAAUGUGUAGAUAUCGGGAAGAACACCAAUGGCGAAGGCAGGUCUCUGGGCCGUUACUGACGCUGAGGAGCGAAAGCGUGGGGGGCGAACA